GUACACGCUGUGACUAGCAUAUCAAUAAGCGGAGGAAAAGAAACUAACAAGGAUUCCCCUAGUAACGGCGAGUGAAGCGGGAAGAGCUCAAAUUUGAAAUCUUAAAGGGUUUCCCUUUACGAAUUGUAGUUUAAAGAAGUGUUUUCUGUUGAGGUUUUGGUAAAAGUUCUUUGGAAUAGGACAUCAUAGAGGGUGAGAAUCCCGUAUUUGACCUUUACUUUCAACUUUGUGAUACACUUUCAAAGAGUCGGAUUGUUUGGGAAUGCAGUCCAAAAUGGGUGGUAAAUUUCAUCUAAAGCUAAAUAUUGGCGAGAGACCGAUAGCGAACAAGUACCGUGAGGGAAAGAUGAAAAGAACUUUGAAAAGAGAGUUAAACAGUACGUGAAAUUGUCAAAAGGGAAGCGUUUGACACCAGUGUUGUUUUUCUGAAAAUCAAUUAAAGAACUGUUUAUGCUAAGUUGUUUAGACUUUAUCUAGCUAACUGUUUAGUUUUGAGCUUUUCUUUAAUGCACUUUUCAGUUAACAAGUCAACAUCAAUUUCUUUUGCUGUAAAAAAGCUUGAGGAAGGUGGCUUGAGAUUCGUCUUAAGUGUUUAUAGCCUCUUGCCUAUGCAGUCGGAGAGAUUGAGGUCUGCAGCGUAGAUCCUUCGGGGCUAAAUGCAUUUGUGCUAAGUUAUAGCAUUUUAUAGACAACUUGUUGACUAUGAUUUGUCUUGUAGCUUACUCGCUUAUGUUAUUUUACCUACGCUUAGGAUGUUGACAGCAGUAUAGACUGU
RNAcentral lists this ribosomal RNA (775 nucleotides) under uncultured Neocallimastigales. Its description in RNAcentral is "partial large subunit ribosomal RNA". It matches the Rfam family "Eukaryotic large subunit ribosomal RNA", at positions 22 to 637 of the family's 3401-position model. The record is from RNAcentral. Lineage: Eukaryota; Fungi; Neocallimastigomycota; Neocallimastigomycetes; Neocallimastigales.